AUUCUGGUUGAUCCUGCCAGUAGUUAUAUGCUUGUCUCAAAGAUUAAGCCAUGCAUGUCUAAGUACACACGAAUUAAAAGUGAAACCGCAAAAGGCUCAUUAUAUCAGUUAUGGUUCAUUAGAUCGUUAACAGUUACUUGGAUAACUGUGGUAAUUCUAGAGCUAAUACAUGCAUUAUAAGCACGGACCUUUUGGAACGUGUGCUUUUAUUAGGCUAAAACCAAGCGAUUCUUUCGGGAAUCGUUGACUGGUUGAACUCUAGAUAACUUGCAGAUCGUAUGGUCUUGUACCGACGACAGAUCUUUCAAAUGUCUGCCCUAUCAACUAUUGAUGGUAGUAUCUAGGACUACCAUGGUUGCAACGGGUAACGGGGAAUCAGGGUUCGAUUCCGGAGAGGGAGCCUGAGAAACGGCUACCACAUCUAAGGAAGGCAGCAGGCGCGUAAAUU
Molecule: non-coding RNA, 448 nt
Filed under: Megaselia scalaris
Lineage: Eukaryota; Metazoa; Arthropoda; Insecta; Diptera; Phoridae
Description: Eukaryotic small subunit ribosomal RNA
Rfam family: Eukaryotic small subunit ribosomal RNA
Source: Rfam by way of RNAcentral